RNAcentral lists this ribosomal RNA (272 nucleotides) under uncultured bacterium. Its description in RNAcentral is "partial 16S ribosomal RNA". It matches the Rfam family "Bacterial small subunit ribosomal RNA", at positions 524 to 794 of the family's 1533-position model. The record is from RNAcentral.
UACGAACCCGUCCAAACGUUAUUCGGAUUUAUUGGGCUUAAAGGGUAUGUAGGCGGCCCUUCAAGUCGGGUGUGAAAGCCCUCGGCUCAACCGAGGAACUGCGCCCGAUACUGUGGGGCUCGAGGGAGACAGAGGUAAGCGGAACUGAUGGUGGAGCGGUGAAAUGCGUUGAUAUCAUCAGGAACACCAGUGGCGAAAGCGGCUUACUGGGUCUCUUCUGACGCUGAGAUACGAAAGCUAGGGGAGCGAACGGGAUUAGAAACCCUGGUAGU